CCUACGGGAGGCAGCAGUGGGGAAUAUUGGGCAAUGGGCGCAAGCCUGACCCAGCAACGCCGCGUGAAGGAAGAAGGCUUUCGGGGUGUAAACGUCUUUUGGCAGGGAAGAGGAGAAGACGGUACCUGACGAAUAAGCCACGGCUAACUACGGGCCAGCAGCCGCGGUAAUACGGAGGUGGCAAGCGGUGUCUGGAUUUACUGGGUGUAAAGGGCGUGUAGCCGGGUUGACAAGUCAGAUGUGAAAUCCUGCGGCUUAACCGCAGAACUGCAUUUGAAACUGUUGAUCUUUGGUACUGGAGAGGCAGCCGGACUUCCUCGUGUCGCGGUGAACUGCGUCACUCUUAGGAGGACCCCCAGUG
RNAcentral lists this ribosomal RNA (361 nucleotides) under uncultured bacterium. RNAcentral describes it as "partial 16S ribosomal RNA". It matches the Rfam family "Bacterial small subunit ribosomal RNA", at positions 338 to 714 of the family's 1533-position model. The record is from RNAcentral.